Molecule: long non-coding RNA, 2284 nt
Organism: Phacochoerus africanus (Common warthog)
Lineage: Eukaryota; Metazoa; Chordata; Mammalia; Artiodactyla; Suidae
Exons: 2
Source: RefSeq, a predicted model, not a curated record
UAUGCCGUGGGUGUGGCCCUGGAAAAGACAAAAAGACCAAAAAAAAAAAGGAAGAGUAACAAGACGUGGCGAUGGCAUGUGCCCUGACCUGCCUGGAUUCAGAGCCGUGGGCCCAGAGUCUCUUGAGAAAACCGGAGCUGAGGUGUCUUGACCAGUGCGCCUCCCAAGUGCCCCGGGCGUCGAAAGGCGGAAGGAUUCAGAACGUGCUUCUUACACGAGUGCUUCUUACACGAGGGCCGAUGGCCGGGUGUGGCGCGCGCACGUUCCUGGAGAAAUGCUUCCUGUGCGAGUCGGUCGCCGAGGAGAUGGGAGAACCACGAGUCUUGAUGGUGGGUGGGUACACGGGUGCCCCCGGCACAGGGCCUAGGUGCGUUUGUGUCGCUGGCUUGCUGGUGACACCUGUUAGGCGCUGGCCUCGGUGUUCCCUUAGCGGCUCUCGCCGAAUUCCCCUGUGCAGUUAGACACGUGAGCACGCCAGAGUGACUCGAAAAUGCCCUUGAAGUUCACAAGUCUGGGGAAAGAUAAGCCGAUUCUCAUUUUGAAGACAAGCCUUCUGGGGGGAGAGCGUGUGAAGGCUCUCGCGGAGACUGUCGCAGAGGAGCAGCCAAGAGCCCCCUUCGUGAGAGAGACAAAGAUUACCGGGGCCUCUGACUUCGCUCACUCGACGGUCGUGGAGGCCGACGGUGCCUUGUUCACUGGAAGCGCGGUGACCCUCUGACGUGUUGGGCCGGAUGGGGUACGAGGAGGAGUUCUGAGGACCCUGAGGGUUGGGGGGGGUCACGUGGUUGCAGUUGGCUCUUAAAAGGGGGCCCGUGUGUCCUGGGUCCUCACUGCGGGGUAGAGUCCUGGCCGCCACCCCUGCCUGCCAGAGUAGGCCUCAGAACACGUGCCCUUUGGGUUUCUGCCUUGGUCUUGUGUAGGCUGCGAAAAUGUGAGCUCCAGCCCCGAUUUCGUGGGCUCUGCCUUGCCUUUGGCUCUGCCCGUGCCCCUCGGGAGGUGUGUCCCUCGGGAGGUGUGCCCAGCCCGCUUCCUGGGAGGAGAGGGCGGGGAGCGGGAGGGACGCCCCGACCCCUCCUCAUCCCCCCAGUGCCGCCCCCCAGUUCUCACCGUGUUGCUCCAGGGUAAGUGAGAGGACGCCGAGCUCGCGUGUCACCCCCAGAGCGCCCACUGCUCGGAGCCCGUGGGUGUCCUCGAGUUAAAAUGCCAUGGAGACGUGACCUUCUGAAGCCCCUUGCAGAGUGUGUCCCCACAGCAUUGUGAAGUUAAGUCCUCUUGAGUUAAAUUCUCGGUGCGUUCCCGUGUCCCCAGAGCGGAGGGUUGUACAACUUAAGUGCUUUGGAGCGUCUGCCUCCGGGGCGGGCGGGGGGUAAGAUUCGCUUUUUCCCUGUAGGAGCCCUUACGCUGGGGCGGGAGUGGCGGUGCACGAGCGCUGCCCUGGACAGUCCCCCUGCGGUCAGGUGGCUGACAGUUCCCAAGGGCCGAAGGGGAACCUCUCAGGAAAGGCCGGAGCAGGCGAAGGGGUGGGGACGGAUUUCGUUCCAUCGCUGCAGAGGUGCACGGGUGGCUGGAGGGUCUGGAAGCUGCUGCCAUUUCCUCUCCCAGGCUGGGCCUGCGUCGGCGUGGGCAGCGCUGGCGGGUAGCUAAGGGCCCCGGCGGGGAUGGCAGCCUGGCCAGCGGGCGGGGCGGGCCAAGCCGAGUCGGGAAAGCGCAGCCCUGUACCCCUGCGCCGACAGUUCUGGAAUAAAGAUUUACCUUCCGUGCUGCAAAGAGUGCUGCUUCUCGUCUCUAGCGAUUUUUCCUUUUUCGUCAAGGUGCAAAGUCAUCAAGUAACUUGAGGCAGAGCUAAACCUUUCCACAUCAGCUUGGAGGAAGCUGGCUUUCCUUGUCGAUGCCAAUCACGCAUCCCUCGAGGGUGGCGGGGGGCCGGAGCCGGGCCCGACACGGGCAGCCGUUCCCGCUGUGGCCACCAGGUUUAUAGACAAUGCAGUCAUACAGUGUUACGGAGAAGAAAGGAAGCUGCAGGGGUGCACUGAGAUGGGGUCCCCUCCGCGCGUAGCCAUUCACAGAGCAUUCCGUUCGACUUGCCUCGUGAGUUCUCCUGGGAUCAGUCAAGAGCUCAGGCAGGCUGCGUGGCCUCUUCGGACUUGUGUGGAUCCACUGUGAUCUGAAUCAGAUCACUGCUCCUCGUCAGCGGGAGGUGGAGCCGGCAGAGCCAGCCCAGGCUGGAGCAGCUCUCAGGAGGCCGUGGUCACCGCUCUUCAAUAAAAGUUCUUGUUUCUUUCUU